RNAcentral lists this ribosomal RNA (254 nucleotides) under uncultured bacterium. Its description in RNAcentral is "partial 16S ribosomal RNA". It matches the Rfam family "Bacterial small subunit ribosomal RNA", at positions 524 to 776 of the family's 1533-position model. The record is from RNAcentral.
UACGUAGGGAGCAAGCGUUGUCCGGAAUCAUUGGGCGUAGAGCGCGCGUAGGCGGACCUGCAAGUCGGGUGUGAAAGCCCUCGGCUCAACCGAGGAAGUGCGCCCCGAAACUGCAGAGCUCGAGUGCCAGAGAGGGUGGCGGAAUUCCCCAAGUAGAGGUGAAAUUCGUAGAUAUGGGGAGGAACACCAGUGGCGAAGGCGGCCACCUGGAUGGUGACUGACGCUGAGACGCGAAAGCGUGGGGAGCAAACAGG